UGCCAUGAUGCCGUAAUUUGCGUCUUACCUGGCGCUCAGGGACAGUGGCCUGCUGUCCGUAAGCUGGCGCCUUCUGGGUGAUGACUGCUUGAAGCUGAGCG
This 101-nucleotide small nucleolar RNA is filed under the name Notamacropus eugenii (tammar wallaby). RNAcentral's name for it is "Small nucleolar RNA SNORD16 (ENSMEUG00000016841.1)". It matches the Rfam family "Small nucleolar RNA SNORD16". Rfam says of the family: U16 is a member of the C/D class of snoRNA which contain the C (UGAUGA) and D (CUGA) box motifs. U81 acts as a guanine methylation guide and is found in an intron of ribosomal proteins L1 gene in animals. This snoRNA was independently named MBII-98 in mouse. Lineage: Eukaryota; Metazoa; Chordata; Mammalia; Diprotodontia; Macropodidae. The record is from RNAcentral.